ACGACAGCGAUGAGCAGGAGUAGUAGGUCGUUUGAGUACAGAGAGUAGCCGGGUGGUGUGAGGCUAUACAUCAGACUGAACUCGCCUGUGAGCUACAAGUGUCAAAUGGUGCACUGGUAAAUAAUUACCAGGCAAGCUGAGAGCACUUGUCGGGACGCCCGAUAUAGCGUAUAAUGAGAGUAAGUCAGAGACAAGCCGUUUCUUUACCUGGGCCUGUAGCGCAGCUGGUAGAGCGUCUCCAUGGCAUGGAGAAGGUCAGGAGUUCGAGUCUCCUCAGGUCCACCAGUUUUACCCCUUGUCUUGAUUGAAAAGCAGGGUGGUACCACGGAAACAACCUUUCGUCCCUUGG
RNAcentral lists this non-coding RNA (349 nucleotides) under Ktedonobacter racemifer. RNAcentral describes it as "T-box sequence". The stretch from base 210 to 282 matches the Rfam family "tRNA". The record is from RNAcentral. Lineage: Bacteria; Bacillati; Chloroflexota; Ktedonobacteria; Ktedonobacterales; Ktedonobacteraceae.